GAUGAACGCUAGCUACAGGCUUAACACAUGCAAGUCGAGGGGUAGCAUGGUCUUAGCUUGCUAAGGCCGAUGGCGACCGGCGCACGGGUGAGUAACGCGUAUCCAACCUGCCUUACACUCUUGGACAGCCUUCUGAAAGGGAGAUUAAUACAAGAUGUUAUCAUGAGUAAGCAUUUUCACAUGAUUAAAGGUUUACCGGUGUAAGAUGGGGAUGCGUUCCAUUAGAUAGUAGGCGGGGUAACGGCCCACCUAGUCUUCGAUGGAUAGGGGUUCUGAGAGGAAGGUCCCCCACAUUGGAACUGAGACACGGUCCAAACUCCUACGGGAGGCAGCAGUGAGGAAUAUUGGUCAAUGGACGAGAGUCUGAACCAGCCAAGUAGCGUGAAGGAUGAAGGUUCUAUGGAUUGUAAACUUCUUUUAUACGGGAAUAAACGGAUCCACGUGUGGAUUUUUGCAUGUACCGUAUGAAUAAGGAUCGGCUAACUCCGUGCCAGCAGCCGCGGUAAUACGGAGGAUCCGAGCGUUAUCCGGAUUUAUUGGGUUUAAAGGGAGCGUAGAUGGGUUGUUAAGUCAGUUGUGAAAGUUUGCGGCUCAACCGUAAAAUUGCAAUUGAUACUGGCAGUCUUGAGUACAGUUGAGGUAGGCGGAAUUCGUGGUGUAGCGGUGAAAUGCUUAGAUAUCACGAAGAACUCCGAUUGCGAAGGCAGCUUACUAACCUGUAACUGACAUUGAUGCUCGAAAGUGUGGGUAUCAAACAGGAUUAGAUACCCUGGUAGUCCACACGGUAAACGAUGAAUACUCGCUGUAGGCGAUAUACAGUCUGCGGCCAAGCGAAAGCAUUAAGUAUUCCACCUGGGGAGUACGCCGGCAACGGUGAAACUCAAAGGAAUUGACGGGGGCCCGCACAAGCGGAGGAACAUGUGGUUUAAUUCGAUGAUACGCGAGGAACCUUACCCGGGCUUAAAUUGCGACCGAAUAUGGCGGAAACGCUAUAGCUAGCAAUAGCGGUUGUGAAGGUGCUGCAUGGUUGUCGUCAGCUCGUGCCGCGAGGUGUCGGCUUAAGUGCCAUAACGAGCGCAACCCUUGCCGAUAGUUACUAACAGGUCAUGCUGAGGACUCUGUCGGGACUGCCAUCGUAAGAUGUGAGGAAGGUGGGGAUGACGUCAAAUCAGCACGGCCCUUACGUCCGGGGCUACACACGUGUUACAAUGGGGGGUACAGAGGGCUGCUACCACGCAAGUGGAUGCCAAUCCCAAAAACCUCUCUCAGUUCGGAUUGAAGUCUGCAACCCGACUUCAUGAAGCUGGAUUCGCUAGUAAUCGCGCAUCAGCCACGGCGCGGUGAAUACGUUCCCGGGCCUUGUACACACCGCCCGUCAAGCCAUGGGAGCCGGGGGUACCUGAAGUGCGUAACCGCAAGGAG
This 1422-nucleotide ribosomal RNA is filed under the name uncultured organism. RNAcentral's name for it is "16S ribosomal RNA". It matches the Rfam family "Bacterial small subunit ribosomal RNA". The record is from RNAcentral.